This 454-nucleotide ribosomal RNA is filed under the name uncultured bacterium. RNAcentral's name for it is "bacterial SSU rRNA". It matches the Rfam family "Bacterial small subunit ribosomal RNA", at positions 340 to 786 of the family's 1533-position model. The record is from RNAcentral.
UACGGAAGGCAGCAGUGGGGAAUAUUGCACAAUGGGCGAAAGCCUGAUGCAGCUAUGCCGCGUGUAUGAAGAAGGCCUUAGGGUUGUAAAGUACUUUCAUCGGGGAGGAAAAACAAAACUAAUAAUUUUAUUUCUUGACGUUACCCGAAAAAGAAGCACCGGCUAACUCCGUGCCAGCAGCCGCGGUAAUACGGAGGGUGCUAGCGUUAAUCAGAAUUACUGGGCGUAAAGAGCACGUAGGUGGUUUUUUUAAGUCAGAUGUGAAUCCCUGGGCUUAACCUGGAACUGCAUUUUGAAACUGAAAUACUAGAGUAUCGUAGAGGGAGGUAGAAUUCUAGGUGUAGCGGUGAAAUGCGUAGAUAUCUGGAGGAAUACCUGUGGCGAAAGCGGCCUCCUAAACGAAUACUGACACUGAGGUGCGAAAGCGUGGGGAGCGAAACAGGGAUUAGAUACC